This 72-nucleotide transfer RNA is filed under the name Cavia porcellus (domestic guinea pig). It matches the Rfam family "tRNA". From Rfam's summary of the family: Transfer RNA (tRNA) molecules are approximately 80 nucleotides in length. Their secondary structure includes four short double-helical elements and three loops (D, anti-codon, and T loops). Lineage: Eukaryota; Metazoa; Chordata; Mammalia; Rodentia; Caviidae. The record is from Rfam by way of RNAcentral.
GGGGAUUUAGCUCAGUGGUACAGCGCCUGGCUGGCAAGCAGGAGGUCCUGAGUUCAAUUUCCAGUACCCUCU